Meleagris gallopavo (turkey) is the source of this 4888-nucleotide non-coding RNA. The record is from RefSeq and is a predicted model, not a curated record. NCBI's taxonomy places the organism in Eukaryota, Metazoa, Chordata, Aves, Galliformes, Phasianidae.
UCUCUAUUUCACACUUGAUAGACACCAGAAGAAAUAGAACGACUGACAGUUGAUGAAGAACUCAAUGACAUUGAAAGGGCUCUUUACCUGCUCAGUUCUGGCCAGGAUGUCCAAGGAACAAGCGUGGUGGCAAAUCUUCCAGUCCUGAUGCGACAGAAUCCCGCAGAAACACUCCGUCGAGUUUUACCAAAAAUCCGAGAGGUGCUGCAUGUUGCAGGAGUGGAAAUGCAGUUAACAGCUGCUGUUUCAUUUUUAACUGUACUGCAAGAUGAAUCGGUGUCCAUUCAUACAUACUCCCACUCCUUCCUACACAUCAUUCUCCAGAACUUGGAACACAGGGAUGCAGGUGUCAGCAACGCAUGGCUAGAAACUCUUCUUGCUGUAAUAGAAGCUUUACCCAAAGAGACUAUCAGACAUGAGAUCCUGAAUCCACUUGUUUCCAAGGCACAGAUUUCUCAAACACUUCAGUCACGCUUAGUUAGUUGUAAAAUCAUGGGAAAAUUAGCUAACAAAUUUGAAUCUCACAUAGUUAAAAGAGAGAUUCUUCCAUUGGUAAAAUCACUGUGCCAGGAUGUAGAGUAUGAAGUAAGAACUUGCAUGUGUCGGCAACUGGAACCUAUAGCUCAAGGAAUAGGGACAGAACUAACCAAAACCGUGGUGCUUCCCGAAUUAGUGGAACUGGCAAGAGAUGAGGGCAGCAGUGUACGCCUUGCAGCUUUUGAGACGUUAGUGAAUCUGCUUGAUAUGUUUGACUCAGAUGAUAGAAGGCAAACUGUGCUCCCCUUAGUGAAAUCAUUCUGUGAAAAGUCCUUCAAAGCAGAUGAAUCCAUCCUAGUUUCCUUAUCUUUCCAUUUGGGAAAACUGUGCAAUGGAUUAUAUGGCAUUUUUACUCCUGAGCAGCAUUUACGGUUUUUGGAAUUUUAUAAGAAGCUUUGUACACUGGGCUUACAGCAGGAAAACGGACACAAUGAUAAUCAGCUACAACUCCAAACUUUGGAACAGGAAAAGAAGUAUAUUUCAGUAAGGAAGAACUGUGCUUACAAUUUUCCAGCCAUGAUAGUUUUUGUGGAUCCAAAGAACUUCCAUUUAGAACUGUAUUCUAUAUUCUUCUGCCUUUGUCAUGAUCCUGAAGUUCCAGUCAGAUAUACUAUGGCCAUAAGCUUCUAUGAAGUUGCUAAGCUUUUAAAUUCUGGUGUGUAUACAAUUCAAAAAGAACUGGUUACGCUAUUACAGGAUGAGUCACUGGAGGUUUUAGAUGCUCUGGUAGGUCACCUUCCUGAAAUCCUUGAACUAAUGAUUAAUGGAGGAGAAAACAGUGGAUCAGAAAGCAAGUUACUAUCUAUUCCUGACUUGAUUCCUGCAUUGACAACAGCAGAACAGAGAGCAGCAACUUCCUUAAAGUGGAGAACUCAUGAGAAGUUACUACAAAAAUAUGCGUGUCUCCCUCAAAUCAUAUCAAGUGAUCAGAUUUAUUACCGUUUUCUUCACAGAAUGUUGACAAUCAUUUUGACAAACAAUGUCCUUCCAGUCCAAAAAGCAGCUGCUCGAACUCUCUGCGUUUAUUUACGUUAUAAUCGCAAACAAGAACAGAGGCAUGAGGUUAUUCAGAAACUGAUUGAACAACUGGGCCAAGGAAAAAGUUAUUGGAACAGACUUCGUUUUUUAGAUACUUGUGAAUUCAUUAUGGAACUCUUUUCAAAAUCAUUCUUCUGUAAAUACUUCUUUCUACCUGUGCUUGAGCUUACUCAUGACCCAGUGGCAAAUGUGAGAAUCAAGCUGUGCUAUUUGUUGCCAAAAGUUAAAUCUACUCUGAAGAUUCCCACUGAUAAACAUUUGCUUCAGCAGUUGGAGUUAUGUAUACGGAAACUUUUGUGCCAAGAGAAAGACAAAGAUGUCCUGACUAUUGUAAAAAGAACAGUGUUAGAAUUGGACAGAAUGGAUAUCUCUUUAGAUGCUUUUCAGAAAAGAUUUUACGAAAAUGAUUUAUUGGACCAAGAAAAAGAAAGACAAGAACAUCUCCUUUUGGAAAUGGAACAAUUAGAAAAAGAGAAGCAGCAAAAUGAAGGAAGAUCUGCAAAUGUUAAUGAUAAAAUAUUUGAAAAGAAGCGUAGAGAUAAUAAAACAUCAUCAGUGUUAGUAAAAAGUAUGACUCUUUCUUCUUCUGGGAGCUCUUCUGGUACCUCAACAGGCAAAGAAGACAAAAAAUCCAAGCUGGUUCGAAGCCAGUCUUUCAGUACUCAAGCACUGCAUCCAAAAUACAGCAACAUAGACAAGUGUUCUAAUAAAAGCUCUGCUACAGGAUAUACAUCUUCACUAUCAGGAAUGGGGAAGGGUUGUAUGUUAUCCUUUAGUGAUGAUUCAUUUCGGACUCGUUCCACUGGUAACAGUGGGAAUGCUACCUUCUCUUCCAGUUCCUCCCUCAUAGCUUCUCACAACUCAUUUAACUCAACUGACCAAAAGAACAAUGGAAAUAAAGAGAGCCAGUCCCGAAAGAUGAGCAUAAAAAACAGAAAGUCAAACUCCUAGAUCUUCUGACAGGUUAAGAAGAGAAUGCGUGACUGCUGGAAGCAGAAAUUUCACGUGAUAGCGCUGGAGCAGCACAUGGAACUCUGUAAUGCCUGGGAUGACCAAAUGCAUCUUGCAGUGUUAAAACCUUUUAACUUUUAAACAAAAUCCCAAGUUGUAAAAUAAGUGAUGUAAUGGUUGCAGACUUCUAAUGUUGUAGUGAAAUGUAAUGAAAUUGCAAUUUCAGCUAUGUGCUUUUCACUGCUGCAGCUAAAGAGAGGAUUUUGAUUUCUUCAGUUAUGCCUUUGUAGUUCAAAUUCUUGGAUUUAGAAUGCACAUAUCCAUUACUUAAUUGGGUCAAUUUACAAUUUUAUUAAUUCUUAACAUCCAUACUUUAUUCAAGAAAUAGAAGGAAUUGUCAUGAAUAUGAAAAAGUAAUCCCGCAUCUUAAAGAUCUUUCAAACCUAAUUUAAGAUCAAAAUGCAGACCCAUUGAUUAGUUUUAUAUAGAUAAAACACAAACUUCAGUAGCAUUGUACUGUGAAUUUGGAGGUAAAGUUUUUUACACGUACAAAGUAAAGCUCAUAGAAAUUCUGUGUAAGUUUCAUAGCAGUCUAAAAGGAGAUGUCUCCAGGUGAUAUUUAAAAAAAUUUCAUAAGUUUUGUUGUAUAAAUACUUGCUUUAGUUUUUAGUAUUUCAGAUUGUAUUUUCACUUGAAUAAUUUAUAAUGAUGAAUCUAGUUUUUAAUUAGCUGUUAUUGCAAGCAAUCAUGCUUCAGUGAUGUCAUCUGCAUUAAUGCUAAUGUUUCUAUCAAAAUAUGUCUGUGGAAAAACAUUCAAUUCUAUUUUAAAAAGUUCUAUUUACGUCAGUACUCUAGAGAGAGCAUAUGAAGCUAUUGUCAGCUUCUCUAUUUCGAAAUGGAAGCAACAUAAAUAUAUUAAUAUAAGAAAUAACUGUUUUUUUAACUCUGUUGGUGUAUGAUAAAGAUGAUCUGAUUUGUGAAUGCAUAUGCGUGUGUGGUUACUUUUUAUAAUGUAACAAUAUGAAUGAUGAGUUUACUCAAAAUAAAACUAGGACAAUGCUGUACAUGCAUGUUCUUGAAAUAAAUAUUUUUUCUCAGGGAAUCUUUUAUAACUAAAAUAAAAGUAUUUACCUAUGGAAAAUAUUUAUUUAACAUAGUAAUAAUGCUAGAUUUAUGCUGUUUUGUGUGAAGUGCAAUAUGUUGUAUUUAGCAGCGUUUUAUUAUCUAAAUAUUUCAGCCUCUUAGCCAAAGUUGGAUUUGUUUUUCUUUUUCUACAGUCAUAAACAUGGUUUGGAUUCUGUGGAAACACUCAAGUUUCAGUCUGUGCUGCAGCUUGGUGUAGGCUCCUGCUAAUCAGAUUCCUUUAAAAGCUGCCUCAAGUACGGUGAUGUUUUUGACAUUCGAUGAUGCAGAUGUGCUGGCUCUUCCCAGGAACCCCUGGGACUGCCAGCGUGCCUGAUGUGAAGAUGAGAAUUUACCAGCAGACUUACUGAUAUCUCAGCAUUCUUUCCUAAGAACUGUAAUUAGUCUAGUUACAAAACUAAGAUAUAGUACAGAUUACUUGCAGUUAAAACUAAUACAGGGAAAGGUUUUAGUACCCUCCCCACACCCCGAGUUUUAUUAUCACUGUUUCUCUGCCCUGCUUGGCUUCAUCCCUGAGAGAAGGGCACAGUGGGACAGCUGCAUCCUGAUCCUUGAUGAGAGGAGCGUGAGGGUUGUGGGUACUAACUAUGGGAUCCAUCUGGCAUCACUUUUGUUUUCUAUUUUUCUGUACACUUUGCCCUUCCUUCAUUGGUUCACAGAUCUUCAUUCACUGGAUCUUACUACCUGUGGUGUGCCUUACAUGCACUGAGCACUCAGUCUGUGUUCUGUUUAUCUCCGAGACUGGAUUUACCCAGCUCCAAAGGCUACAGUCUUUUGAAGGUCAGUUAUUGUACACUGGUGAGCUGUUUAUGGCCCUGAAGGCACCAGUGUCAUUCUGAACCUGAACUCUUAAAUCUCCUUACCAUCGCUCUGCACCUGUACCCUUUCAUUUUUCAUUCUAGAUCCAUAGACAGAACAUAUGCUCAUUCUUGAUGAUUACUGAUUACAGAGAUUUCUAGUGAUGCAUAGAUGUUACACAAUUAUACAAAUCCAAGGAAAAUAAUAAAUUAGAUAACAAUAUGUAUCCAAAACUGUUACACAUAAAGAGGCUAAGACAAAACUCCAGGCGGGCCACAUGUAGCCGAGCAGAGCCUGACAGAUGGAGAUGUGCACCCCAUGCUCUUGCAAUGAAAAGGGGCUUUCCGUCUCACCAGAAUUUAGCCAGGUCAUCAAAACCUGGGAUGGCCGUGAGUGCAGCUUUGUGCCUCACCCCCUGCUG